ACUACCUUCCCCUAAUCAGGCAUUUUUAGUCUUAUACUAUUUGAUUAACAAUUUUGUUUUGUGUUUUGUGAAUAUGAAUAUAUUUUAUUUUGUCCUAUGUCUUUUUCUUUUCUUAUUAUAUGAUAGUUCGAGUUCUUUUGACUCUUUCUUUUUUCCUUUAAUUGUUUUGUCUUUUGUUACUUUUUGGGCUCUUUUGCCGUUUCCUUAUAUAAAUUUGUAAGACAUUUUAAACAAAAUCAAAAUUCCGAAAACGGAGUUUAUAAAGAAGAUUGGAUUCAUCAAUUCCACGUGGCUUAAUAUUAUUGGAUCUAACUAAAACAGAGUUUCUUCCAUAACGAUUUUUUCACAACAUAUGAUGCGACCUGGUCGGAUGGUUCGGAAAU
Arabidopsis thaliana (thale cress) is the source of this 383-nucleotide long non-coding RNA. RefSeq annotates it as other RNA. The record is from RefSeq. NCBI's taxonomy places the organism in Eukaryota, Viridiplantae, Streptophyta, Magnoliopsida, Brassicales, Brassicaceae. The transcript has a single exon.